Molecule: ribosomal RNA, 587 nt
Filed under: Aspergillus welwitschiae
Lineage: Eukaryota; Fungi; Ascomycota; Eurotiomycetes; Eurotiales; Aspergillaceae
Description: partial 18S ribosomal RNA
Rfam family: 5.8S ribosomal RNA (bases 244-397)
Source: RNAcentral
UUGGAAGUAAAAAGUCGUAACAAGGUUUCCGUAGGUGAACCUGCGGAAGGAUCAUUACCGAGUGCGGGUCCUUUGGGCCCAACCUCCCAUCCGUGUCUAUUGUACCCUGUUGCUUCGGCGGGCCCGCCGCUUGUCGGCCGCCGGGGGGGCGCCUCUGCCCCCCGGGCCCGUGCCCGCCGGAGACCCCAACACGAACACUGUCUGAAAGCGUGCAGUCUGAGUUGAUUGAAUGCAAUCAGUUAAAACUUUCAACAAUGGAUCUCUUGGUUCCGGCAUCGAUGAAGAACGCAGCGAAAUGCGAUAACUAAUGUGAAUUGCAGAAUUCAGUGAAUCAUCGAGUCUUUGAACGCACAUUGCGCCCCCUGGUAUUCCGGGGGGCAUGCCUGUCCGAGCGUCAUUGCUGCCCUCAAGCCCGGCUUGUGUGUUGGGUCGCCGUCCCCCUCUCCGGGGGGACGGGCCCGAAAGGCAGCGGCGGCACCGCGUCCGAUCCUCGAGCGUAUGGGGCUUUGUCACAUGCUCUGUAGGAUUGGCCGGCGCCUGCCGACGUUUUCCAACCAUUCUUCCAGGUGACCUCGAUCAGUAGACCA